AGGACUUGACAUGGGAGGGCCGUGUCCAGAGAUGGGCAUUUCCGCAAGGACCCUCUGCAC
RNAcentral lists this ribosomal RNA (60 nucleotides) under uncultured organism. RNAcentral's name for it is "partial 16S ribosomal RNA". The record is from RNAcentral.